Molecule: ribosomal RNA, 421 nt
Filed under: uncultured bacterium
Lineage: Bacteria
Description: bacterial SSU rRNA
Rfam family: Bacterial small subunit ribosomal RNA
Source: RNAcentral
GACGAACGCUGGCGGCGUGCCUAACACAUGCAAGUCGAACGGAGAUGUUCGCUGAUUUGAAGGAAGCUUGCUUCUGAAUUUUCUUGAACAUCUUAGUGGCGGACGGGUGAGUAACGCGUGGGCAACCUGCCUUUCACAGGGGGAUAACACAGGGAAACUUGUGCUAAAUACCGCAUAAGACCCCAGUAGGACAUCCUACAGAGGCCAAAAGGAGCAAUCCGGUGAAAGAUGGGCCCGCGUCUGAUUAGCUAGUUGGUAGGGUAACGGCUUACCAAGGCGACGAUCAGUAGCCGAACUGAGAGGUUGAUCGGCACAUUGGGACUGAGACACGGCCCAGACUCCUACGGGAGGCAGCAGUGGGGAAUAUUGCACAAUGGGGGAAACCCUGAUGCAGCAACGCCGCGUUGAAGGAUGAACGGCC